AGCUGUCACAGUGGAGGAGGAAAGACUUGUUGCUGCCAAAGCUAACAGUAAAAUGUGAAACAAAAGGAGCCUUAUUAUGUUAAAGUAGUAGAAAGGCAGCAAUUUAUUUUUCAUUUUUGUUUUCUUAUUGCUUUGAAUGAUACAGACACAAAGCCUAUGGCUUAUCAACGGUGAACAAAACCUCAGAGACUGAAGUGGGUGGUCCAGGGACCCUGUUGACUGCCCUGCGGGUCGGGACACUCUGGCACCCAACAGUAAGGCCCCUGUGGAGUCAUCAAGGAGAGGAAUGCCCUAGGAAACGAAGGAAGGGCCCUUCACGUGCAGCUCCAGGAGUGGAUUAGGUCAAGGCACAGUUGACCUGCCAGCACUUGGCCAAGGAAAUAUCUCCAGGGCAACAAAGUCUCGGACGUUUGGAAGAAAAAAUUAAUAACGUGAUUCUAGUGGAUCUGUCACAUGAAUAUUGGUGUGUGAGUAACAGAGGUGGAGGAGAAUACUGAAAAUGCCAUUUUCCAAAGACUAUGGAGAUUCAUGAAUCAGGAAUAAGGAAAAGUUUAAGAUAAAAUGUGUCAUCCCGCUGAAGUACCUGUGGGCCAUGGAUGAUGUGGACCUAGUCAGCAUCCACGAAAUCUGUACUUGCAAGACACUUGAUCUGUUUUGGCCCACUGGAAAAUUUUUGGCCACCUUUAGUAUUUAAUUGAACAGAUAAAAACAGUUGGUCCUAGAAUGCUCAAGUAUUUGAAUGUCUACUGGUCCACUGAUAAGGAUAGAGGUCAAGGGAUAAAGUUCCAUGGGAUCCACAGAUGAUAUUCACUGAGGACAUCCAAAGCUGUGACAGUCCUUUAUGUGUAAAAGCAACAAACAUCGAUACAGUGAAUGAUAUAAUGAUGAAUUUACUACCAAUGACAAGAAUGCCUGAUCUGGCCUAUUUUCCACAUUAGAAAAAUCUUCAUCCUUUCCACAGACUGGAGAAAUGAAAGCCAAUGGUUGCGUGUACUCCUAGGCACCCUCAAAGCCUCUCGGUUUUGGCUAUUUUUCUCACUGUUUCUGAAAUUAUCAUAACUUUCAAAUGUCCCUUUAUCAAGUCAUCAAAGUCACUGUGAGAAUAUGACUCUCUGGGUACUAGGUGAUGUGCUCAUGUCAAAUCAAUGUUCAAUAUUCCAUUGACAGACUGGAGAGACCUAUGUGAGUCAUUUUAUAAUAAUAUUGGUUCUGGUUAGUAUUAGUGGAUCAAAAGAACAAGGUUCCCUUUGAGAACAAGGCAAGUACCUCAGGAGUUUCUCCUGAAAUCAAAGGAGUCUCCUGAUGACUCAAACCUGUGGUCAGAAGACAUGCCAUUCGAGGAUGUGGAGAAAGAGGAACACUCCUUCACUGCUGGUAGGGUUGCAAACUAGUACAACCACUCUGGAAAUCAGUCUGGCAUUUCUUCAGAAAACUGUACAUGACACUUCCGGAGGACCCUGCUAUACCUCUCCUGGGAAUAUACCCAGAGGAUUCCCUGGCAUGCAAUAAGGACACAUGCUCUACUAUGUUCAUAGAAGCCUUAUUUAUAAUAACCAGAAACUGGAAAGAACCCAGAUGUCCCUCAACGGAGGAAUUGAUACAGAAAAUGUGGUACAUUUACACAAUGGAAUAAUACUCAGCAAUUAAAAACAAUGAAUUCAUGAAAUUUUUAGGCAAAUGUUUGGAACUGGAAAAUAUCAUCCUAAGUGAGGUAACCCAAUCACAAAAGAAUACACAUGGAAUGCAAUCUUUGAUAAGUGGAUAUUAAUUAGCCCAGAAGCUCUGAAUACCCAAGGCACAAUUAGCAUAACAAAUGACUCCCAUGAAGAAGUAAGGAAAGGGCCCUGAUCCUGGAAAGGCUUGAUCCAGCAUUGUAGGGGAGUACCAGGACAGAGAAAAAGGAGGGAGGUGAUUGGAGAAUGGGUGGAGGGAAGAAGGCUUAUGGGACAUAUGGGGAGGGGGCAACUGGGAAAGGGGAAAUCAUUUGGAAUGUAAAUAAAGAAUAUAGAAAAUAAAGAUAAAUAAAUAAAUGUAUAAAUAAAUACAUAAAAGACAUGCUAUUAAUACUGGUCCAAAUAAUUUUCCUGCUAGAGAGCUGGAAAUUAUAAGUAAAGAAAAUCACUAGAUUCUUCAAGAUUCUACUGCCAAGUUACUUGUGGCAAUUGGUUCUUUUUGGCUCUCAGAACAGUGUAGAUUACCAGCUGUGGCUCUGUCCUGGCCAUAAGGAAGCUUCAAGUGGACUCCAAGUUAAAUACCAGGGAAAUCUAAGGAAGGACUAGCUGAGUUCAGUGGUCUAACCCUGAAAUCUCAGACUUUCAUUAUUUAGUCUUAAAUAUAAGAACACACUAAAACAACUAAACAAUAUAUCAAUCAUUAAAUUCAUAAUUAAUAACUUAUUAUGCAUUCAGGCGUAUGAUAACCUCAUUAUGAAAGUGUCUGAGUUUUGACAAAAAUAUAAAAGAAACUUCUGUGUUUUCAAUGUGAGAAACAUAAUUUUCCUAAAAAGAGAAACAAAACCAAAUUAUGGAUAUAUUUUUUCUGAAAAAACUGAAAUAAAAAUCAUUUGGUAAUCAUUACAGAAAAUCCUAAAAGCAAAAGAAAAUUUUCAGUGAUUCCUAACACCCGUUUGAUAGCUCAUAGGCACCCAUUACUCCAAUUUCAGGAUAUUAAACUCCCUGCUCUGAUAUGCUCAGGUAUCAGGCUCAAUAUGGUACAAAGAUAUACAUCAGAACAAAAGAGUUGCAAACAGAAACAAGUCUAAAAUUAAAACAAAAACACCUUCCAAGAACAAUUUAGUGUCUUUAAAGAAACUAGUCACAACACUUUUCUUUUGUGUGUAGAGAUUUCUCUUAAGCAGUAAGAAAUUCGGCAACAUUAAAAAAAAAUUCUGUUUAUUUCAAACUAUGUAGAUUCUGUUUUGUAAGGGAAAUUGUAAAUGUAACCAUAUCUCUAAGUCCAUGUGAAAUAUGCAGUUCACAUCUCCUUAUGAUCAGCAUUUCCCCCACUGAAUGAGAGAUCAUAUUCAGAUUAGUGGAGAAUUCUUGAUGGACUCACCUGCUAUUUCUUCUAUUGCCAUUAUUUUGUUUUUCUCUAAAUAAAGAAUUGCCAAAUGAAUAAUAGAAAUGAAAUGAUCAGAAUCAUUUGGAGAAGAUUUUAAAUUCUUUAAUCGUCAAGUGUGAUUGCAAAGGUUAUCUUUUGAAAGAUAAUGAGUAAUGUGAUGUGCUAGCUUAUAAAGUGACAUCCAGACAAGUGAGAGUAAAAAUGGCUUUUGGAGAUCAGAUAGCAUGGUUAUUCCAAAUUUAUCAUGUAUCGUGAAAAGAAUCUGCAGUGAUAUCCUUGAUUAUUUGAAGGAAACUAAAACUGGACUACUUUCAUUUUUCUUCAACACUUAUUAUCAGGGUUAUAAUACUCUAGAUAAUAACCAUGGCAAACUCAAUGCAUACAUUUGACUUUAUUUUCCUUUGUGCAACCUAGAAUUGCUACUGUGUCAAGGCAGGUAAGGAACUCUCAACCCUUACUGUUUCAAUCAAAUGAGUGCUGAAAUUACAGGCAUGUACCAAAAUCACCUGGUCUUCGUUUUUUAUAAGGUGAAGACCAUAACAGUAGUACUCAGUAAAAAGACAAAUGUGGAGUGCACAUUCCAAGACAAAUUCAUUGGGUGAAGUGUGUCAACUUGAUAAUAUUUUAAUAUUAAGGUUUGGAAGAGUUUUGUACAUUAUGGAUGUUUCAGAAUUCCCAAGAACGUAAUGCUCUUGUUAGUUUCUCAGUAUCAUUUUGAAUGUGUAUUUUAACACAUAGGCCGUAUGCAAGUAUGUAUGCCUUAUGUUGAGAUGUUUCUAUAUUGAUCACUUGGAUGGAUCUGGAGUCGAUUUAUCUCAAUGUUGCUGUAAAUCUUGUUCUGAUUGUAGCACUGACAUUCUAUCUGUGUCAGAAUCAAAGGCAAAUCAAGACUUUCAUCAUAUUGGUGAUUCAUGAGAAAGGUUCAAAGCCAAGGUUACAUGCUUCCUAGAAAACCAUAUCCACAACACAGCACACACUCUCUAAGAUUUCUUUAGAGAAGAAAUACCUUAAAACAGGAGAGCACAUCAAGAAACUGGAUUUAAUUCUAAUUUUGUGUUUGUAGUUCUGGCCCAGAAUUACUGUUGUUUUUAAAGGUCUAAAAAUAUUGUUGUGAGAAAGGAAUUAUUCUUACUGCUUGUGAGAAACACACAUACACACACACACAUACACACACACACAACACACACACAAAUAAGAAAAAUAAUGUCUUGUGAUCGCAGUUAUCUUAAAGACACUGAAUUGUUCGGUGAAUAUGUUUUGGUGCCCCUAGAUGUAGCAUAUAGGAGAAAGUUUACUUCAAUUGCUUUUUUCAUAUGCCUCUAUGGAGAAAUAUGUUUUGUCUUAUCCAGCUCUUUGAUUGUAUACUUUCCUCUUGUGACUCUUCUUAAUCCUCAGAUUAUGAAUUAUCUGAUAUGCUGAGAAAGUUGUCUAUUGCAUGCAACUUCAUCCUGCCUCAUUAUUAGGACACAUACUUCCAGGUCCCUAACUUGAGUAAUAAAAAUCUAUUGUGUGUCCAGAAGGACUCAUGUGUUUUCUAUAGCAUACAGCAUCACCAU
Apodemus sylvaticus (European woodmouse) is the source of this 4616-nucleotide long non-coding RNA. RefSeq lists it as uncharacterized. Lineage: Eukaryota; Metazoa; Chordata; Mammalia; Rodentia; Muridae. The transcript has 6 exons. The record is from RefSeq and is a predicted model, not a curated record.